This is a non-coding RNA of Corvus brachyrhynchos (American crow), 378 nucleotides long. NCBI's taxonomy places the organism in Eukaryota, Metazoa, Chordata, Aves, Passeriformes, Corvidae. The record is from Rfam.
AGUGUUCCCAUUUUAACUUCGCACACUCUUUUCCGCAUUUUUCCUCAUGGCCAAAAGCAAAUAUUUAUUCCAUGCAUAUUUUCCCUUUUCUUUCAGGCUCCAGUUUUGAAACCUGUGGAUUCCCCCGGCCAAACAUUGCUUGUCUGUCUUGAAUUGGGUCGGUUUGUUUCCCUCUGUUUUCUCUAGAGUGCCUCUGAAAAUCGCGUUGCAGGUCGAGGGAGAAGAGGGAAGGGGAGGCAGCUCUGUGGGGCAGCGCUGUUUUACAUACGGGUUAGACACGGCUAGAGGCCAAGGUCAAGUUGAAAGUUGCAGUCUAGCCAAUGUGAGAACUGUCAUCCUCUCCCUCAGCCGCAGAGAGUUUCUCGCUUAUCUGCCUCG